CGUCCGCGUAACAGAUGAAAUUUCAAAGCAGAAGGUAUUAUAAUGCCAGUUUUGGGGCCCUUGAAUUUGAAAAUCAAAAAAGUAUUAAAAAAUUUACUAAAUGAUGUUCUUCAAAUAUUAAUAAGACAUUAUCUCUUGGACAGCAGAAUAUUUUAUUCAUUUCGAAGCCUUUUAUAGCUUACUUUAUGGUAUGGGUUUUACACAUUGUUUUUGCAAGGUCGAACGAGAACAUAUAGCUGCUUACAUCUACCCCAAUUGGUCUAUUGCGGAUAUUUGUCUCGUUGAUAUAUACCGCAUCUUUUUAUUUGGAUAUUUAUGUUGAUCUAUUAGCUUGUUUGAUAGUUUAGUGUUCGAUUCGAUUCCUUGCUAAUAUGAUACAUAUAACGUUUAUCGGCGUUUUGGAGCAUUUCUAUAGUAGAAAUUUAUUGAAUAAAAGUUAAAAGAAAAAAAUAUAAAGAUUUUGAUUGGUUAUAUAUUGGUCUUGUUGCAGGUAUUUUUCUAAGUUGGCAUUUAAAACUACAAAAAAAAAUAAACAUACGUUUGCCUUUUUUACAAGAUCUAACUCCGUCACCCUGUUCUAUGUUUUUUUUUUCUUUUUUAUCGCUGACUAUGCGGUAUUGGUUUUACUAAUUGUUGAAGGCCGUACGGUGAACUAUAGUCGUCAAUUUUUGCGCAUUAUGGUCUCUUUUGGAGAGUUGUCUCAUUGGCAAUCAUACCACUUCUUCUUAAUUUUUUUAUAUAUACAGACAUCUUGCAUAUAAAAAAUGAACAAAGAUAUGCAAAAUGUCCUUGCAUUUGGUUAAUUGUAAUUAAAAUAACACAUUUGGCCUCUAUAAUGAAAACUACGUGAUAUUAAAUUAACUACAUUGUUUUGAUGGUUUUUUGGCCUGUUAUUAAUUUUACGGAUGAAGAGAUAUUUUCAUAUCCAACUAAACGGGAGGUUAUAUGAUAAAGUGAUACCUCAAAAAUAACGUGAUUUGAUAUUGUGACAUUUAAAUUGGAUGUUCAUUGGGUCAAUGCUGACUACCAAAGGUCACGAUGGAGUAAUAUUUUAUUCAUUCUCCUUGGCAAGGGCUUGGUUAUUUUCGAAUUUCACGAUGUCAUCUUG
RNAcentral lists this long non-coding RNA (1108 nucleotides) under Mytilus galloprovincialis (Mediterranean mussel). Lineage: Eukaryota; Metazoa; Mollusca; Bivalvia; Mytilida; Mytilidae. The record is from RNAcentral.